RNAcentral lists this ribosomal RNA (253 nucleotides) under uncultured bacterium. RNAcentral describes it as "partial 16S ribosomal RNA". It matches the Rfam family "Bacterial small subunit ribosomal RNA", at positions 524 to 776 of the family's 1533-position model. The record is from RNAcentral.
UACGUAGGGUGCAAGCGUUAAUCGGAAUUACUGGGCGUAAAGCGUGCGCAGGCGGUUGUGCAAGGCAGAGGUGAAAUCCCCGGGCUUAACCUGGGAAUGGCCUUUGUGACUGCACGGCUAGAGUGUGUCAGAGGGGGGUAGAAUUCCACGUGUAGCAGUGAAAUGCGCAGAUAUCAGGAAGAACACCCGUGGCGAAGGCGGCUCUCUGGGACGGUACUGACGCUGAGACGCGAAAGCGUGGGGAGCGAACAGG